GCGGACGUGGCGGAAUUUGGCAGACGCGCCGGGUUUAGGUCCCGGUGCCGCAAGGCGUGUGGGUUCAAAUCCCACCGUCCGCA
Molecule: transfer RNA, 83 nt
Filed under: Acidimicrobiales bacterium
Lineage: Bacteria; Bacillati; Actinomycetota; Acidimicrobiia; Acidimicrobiales
Description: tRNA-Leu
Rfam family: tRNA
About the family: Transfer RNA (tRNA) molecules are approximately 80 nucleotides in length. Their secondary structure includes four short double-helical elements and three loops (D, anti-codon, and T loops).
Source: RNAcentral